AUGCUAUCCUCGUACUCUCUACUAUCGUCAUAGAACGCCAAGUAGCCGUCUCCCUUAAUUAGCAUACUGAGCCAAUAAGGCAUUUUGUAUAUUUUUGCGCCUAUCAGAAAAAAAACCUUGGUUUUUAGAAGAACACCUAUUUGAGGUAGACAGAAAAAUCGACGUCCGCUGCUGGACGACAGGACUGCAAAUUAACAGAUAAAUAUUAUUUGUAACGCGUUUAAUCUUCUUGUCCACGCAUAGUAGGAUAUCUCUAUUCGAAUAAACGACGAAUAUUACAAUGUGGAAAUUUGACCAGCUGUGUGGUGCUAAACCGUAAAACCACCAAUAAAGUACCCGCCACUAAAAAUUAGCAGACGAUUUUGGGGUAGUCUUGUCGAUUUCAUCAAAGCGGAAGCGCAUGAGAUUUAUAUCCUAUGUGAUAACGUAUUGAUCAGUAACUAUUGGCUCGAGCCCUGUCUAGCGAUAGCGGUUCUUUCCGAGGUGUAUGGUAUACUGCCCUGGAGCAAACGAGAUUGCGGGCUUCUGCUUUCCACCAUGUCAUUGUCUAGUUUCAGCUAAUUUCACCUUCGUGUAUGCGCUACAAGGGAAGCAGGUAACACCCUCGUAAACGUCCUAAUGCUCGACUUCGCUUCGUGAAAGGCUCUCAUAACACACGAACCUACCGAACUAUAGUCUUUAGACCUUCACACUCAGACUGACCGAAGUUGUAUAACCUUUAUUACUCAGUACAUCUUUUUUUCUCAUUCUGUUACUGGCACUCGAGCUGCCGCUACCACUGUCGCCGCCAUGACCAGCACCUGCAAAGUGAUACGGAAAAGUUACAACGACUGUGGCUAACUAUGCAGCGUGUAGAUCUGGUACACAAACAAUGUUGUCGCUCACUUUCCGGGAGACAGCUUUGGCUUCCCGUACUUGUCAGAAGCUAAGCGAUAUUUUCAAGGACAAAAAGCGUAUCCAUUGUUUAGUGGUGCAUCUACUCAACAGCCUGGGCGCGACAGGCAACUGCGGUGGCUCGGUGAGCGCGCGAGUCAUUGGCUCGGGCUUGCAGAAAUGUCAUCGAUGUCAUAUUGACGGACUGCGAACGCUCAAAGGGAGCAAGAAAUAGAGAUAGUGACAUUUCCCUACUACACUUUUCCCGAACUCGAAAAAUGGUGGCUGCCAUCGCGUGGACUAGUUCACCAAAUGACGACUGGUGAUCGGUUGUCCUUAUUCCAUUGCGCUGCCCCUUGUACCUUUCUUCGCAUCACAUAACGUAGCAAUAAUUGGCUAGAGACGACUCCCUGGGCCGGCCAAGAAAUGCAGCAGAGCUGUUGGCCGGAAGUGAUAUAUCAUGACCGAGGGCAGACGACAAACCAGAUUGACAAGACCGGAAAUGAUUACACCUACCAGUAGGAACACGAUUUCUAAGAUGACUAAAAAGAAGGAGAGAAAGCGCGUAUUUAAGC
Molecule: long non-coding RNA, 1448 nt
Organism: Varroa destructor (honeybee mite)
Lineage: Eukaryota; Metazoa; Arthropoda; Arachnida; Mesostigmata; Varroidae
Source: RefSeq, a predicted model, not a curated record